This 243-nucleotide ribosomal RNA is filed under the name uncultured bacterium. RNAcentral's name for it is "partial 16S ribosomal RNA". It matches the Rfam family "Bacterial small subunit ribosomal RNA", at positions 529 to 771 of the family's 1533-position model. The record is from RNAcentral.
AGGGGGCAAGCGUUAUCCGGACUUACUGGGUGUAAAGGGAGAGUAGGCGGCAUGGUAAGUUAGAUGUGAAAGCCUCGGGCUUAACCUGAGGAUUGCAUUUAAAACUAUCAAGCUAGAGUACAGGAGAGGAAAGCGGAAUUCCUAGUGUAGCGGUGAAAUGCGUAGAUAUUAGGAAGAACACCAGUGGCGAAGGCGGCUUUCUGGACUGAAACUGACGCUGAGGCUCGAAAGCGUGGGGAGCGA